RNAcentral lists this ribosomal RNA (261 nucleotides) under uncultured archaeon. Its description in RNAcentral is "partial 16S ribosomal RNA". It matches the Rfam family "Archaeal small subunit ribosomal RNA", at positions 748 to 1009 of the family's 1478-position model. The record is from RNAcentral.
UAGCCGUAAACGAUACUCGCUAGGUGUCGGCCACGGUGCGACCGUUGUCGGUGCCGUAGGGAAGCCGUGAAGCGAGCCACCUGGGAAGUACGGCCGCAAGGCUGAAACUUAAAGGAAUUGGCGGGGGAGCACAACAACGGGAGGAGCUUGCGGUUUAAUUGGAUUCAACGCCGGAAAUCUUACCAGGACCGACAGCAACAUGAAGGCCAAGCUGAAGACUUUGCCGGAUUAGCUGAGAGGAGGUGCAUGGCGUAGUCGUGU